AUUGAACGCUGGCGGCAUGCUUUACACAUGCAAGUCGAACGGCAGCACAGGGAGCUUGCUCCUGGGUGGCGAGUGGCGAACGGGUGAGUAAUGUAUCGGAACGUGCCUGGUAGUGGGGGAUAACUACUCGAAAGAGUGGCUAAUACCGCAUGAGAUCUUUGGAUGAAAGCGGGGGACCUUCGGGCCUCGUGCUACUGGAGCGGCCGAUCUCAGAUUAGGUUGUUGGUGGGGUAAAGGCCUACCAAGCCUGCGAUCUGUAGCUGGUCUGAGAGGACGACCAGCCACACUGGGACUGAGACACGGCCCAGACUCCUACGGGAGGCAGCAGUGGGGAAUUUUGGACAAUGGGCGCAAGCCUGAUCCAGCAAUGCCGCGUGCAGGACGAAGGCCUUCGGGUUGUAAACUGCUUUUGUACAGAACGAAAAGUCUCUGGCUAAUAUCUAGAGAUCAUGACGGUACUGUAAGAAUAAGCACCGGCUAACUACGUG
Molecule: ribosomal RNA, 488 nt
Filed under: uncultured bacterium
Lineage: Bacteria
Description: partial 16S ribosomal RNA
Rfam family: Bacterial small subunit ribosomal RNA
Source: RNAcentral